GCGGAAUGCUUUACACAUGCAAGUCGAACGGCAGCACGGACUUCGGUCUGGUGGCGAGUGGCGAACGGGUGAGUAACAUAUCGGAACGUAUCCAAUAAUGGGGGAUAACAUAUCGAAAGAUGUGCUAAUACCGCAUACGCCCUGAGGGGGAAAGCUAGGGACCGCAAGGCCUGGCGUUAAUGGAGCGGCCGAUAUCUGAUUAGCUAGUUGGUGAGGUAAGAGCUCACCAAGGCCACGAUCAGUAGCUGAUCUGAGAGGAUGAUCAGCCACAUUGGGACUGAGACACGGCCCAAACUCCUACGGGAGGCAGCAGUGGGGAAUAUUGGACAAUGGGCGCAAGCCUGAUCCAGCCAUGCCGCGUGAGUGAUGAAGGCCUUCGGGUUGUAAAGCUCUUUUGUCCGGGAAGAUAAUGACUGUACCGGAAGAAUAAGCCCCGGCAAACUUCGUGCCAGCCGCCGCCGUAA
RNAcentral lists this ribosomal RNA (464 nucleotides) under uncultured bacterium. RNAcentral describes it as "partial 16S ribosomal RNA". It matches the Rfam family "Bacterial small subunit ribosomal RNA", at positions 39 to 523 of the family's 1533-position model. The record is from RNAcentral.